Molecule: non-coding RNA, 1650 nt
Organism: Pelobates cultripes (western spadefoot toad)
Lineage: Eukaryota; Metazoa; Chordata; Amphibia; Anura; Pelobatidae
Source: the annotation of a GenBank genome assembly
GCUCGGUGUCUCUUUCCGGCAUUUAUAGGUUUUACUCUAGUUUUUCAGCAGAGGAGGGGUUAACAGUUCUUGUGUCAUUGACUAUCCCCAAUUCUGACCUUUGUCCCCCACCCCCCUCCAGCCAGCCCAGCAGUUGUGACACCUGUGACAGGAAAAGCACAGCCUGUGAUCGAGCUAGACGGUAAAUUUCGAACUCACUAACAUGCCUUUAUUAAUUCACCUGGUUCCAUUAAUACACAGUAUUGUGCAAUACACACUGUACAGAAACAUCAUGCUGCUGUGUGAAGUGGACUGGGAGACCUGUGCUUAGUUGCUUAUGAAGUGUAUUCAAACGUUAUGGCCUGAACAUAAAUUAAUUGGUAAAAUAAACUCACAUGUAGUUGCUGGAGGUUCAGAUAAUGGCAUAUUCCUGUUAUCAGCCGGUACACCAAGGUUUUAUUCUUUGUUAUUGGAGUAUUAUUAUGGGGUGAAUAAUGUCUGGAAACUUUGGGGUGCAGUUUUUUUUUAUGUAGAUUGCAUGGAAGGGAUUAUUUAAGCACAAUAACUAUUAAAGUGCUUUGCAGUAGUUAUGGUGCCGAGCGUCUCCUGGCGCUGCACCACAAUAAGAUGUCAAGCCAUCUAUGAGUGGUUUGAUAGUAUCCAUGCUUCGGCAGUGCUCUCUGGCCUUCUAUGUUGCACUGAUGCUAAAGUCUGAGUUAAAACUCCUACAGUUGCAUGUUUUGGUUGAGUAAGUGUCUAACCACUCGUAAACAGUUUGUCAGUUUACCAUAGGGACUCUGAGUGCUAUAAGCAUGGUUGCGGUUAUGGUGCUUACAAUUUCCCUUUCUUUUUGUAAUUUUUAGUAGGUAAAAUGACAAUGAUGUAUAAAGACAUAGUUACAUAGUGUCCAUCAAGUGCUUUCUAGUUUUGUAACAAGCUUGGAAAUUUCUUCUUGACCCCAGAAUGGCAGUCAGAUCUCUAUUUCCCCGGAUAUAUCCAUGGCAGCACUUCCCCUUCUCAAUUGUACAGGAACCACCCCCUAAUUAAUUAAUAAAAGAGACUUCCUCCCCUGUCCAUUCAGUCUUUUUUUCCUGUCCACUUCGCAUGGACGUAGUCUGGUCUAAAUGUACCCUUAUCCCAUGGGGAGUUCAGCCUCUCUCCCCAUGGAAGCCUCAGGACACUGCGCCUCACCAAGGGCGACCCCACCUGGAGGAUUCUCCCCUCAGCGACCAGGGAGCUAUGCUGCAGUGACCCUAUAGGUACCAGCUGGAUGUGCCAGACCCAUUUUGGUGAUAAUUCCCCAAAAAGGGUACACCUACCUGCUGCAUAAUUUUUGGGCUUCUUGGCUUUCCCAUUUCCUGGAUGGAUCCUGACAAGUCUCCUGGUGAAGCAAGUGGCAGUUCCUGGCAAAUGCCUGCCUGACCGGGGGUUUUUCUUUGUUUAUUUAUCUCCCUUUAGGUUCAUUUCGGAUAGGUGACCUGCUGUUUUCACGUUCCAGUUUUGGAACGCACGCCAAUGGCGUGCAUUCCCUUUCCGGCACUUCCGGUUUCGGCCUAUCGUGGCACUCACUCCGAUCGUGGAACGCACGACGCAGCGAGGAAUUCAUGGGCAGCUGCAGCCAACAUUUCUCGGGACCACAUUUGUUCAGCAGCAACAUGAUCCUCCUUUAAC